RNAcentral lists this microRNA precursor (72 nucleotides) under Pediculus humanus corporis (human body louse). Its description in RNAcentral is "mir-278 microRNA precursor family". It matches the Rfam family "mir-278 microRNA precursor family". The record is from Rfam by way of RNAcentral. Lineage: Eukaryota; Metazoa; Arthropoda; Insecta; Psocodea; Pediculidae.
GUUACGCUCGGAUGAAAGUUUUACCAAUCGUGUUAAAUAAAUUGAUCGGUGGGACUUUCGUCCGUUUAAAAC